Molecule: ribosomal RNA, 467 nt
Filed under: uncultured bacterium
Lineage: Bacteria
Description: partial 16S ribosomal RNA
Rfam family: Bacterial small subunit ribosomal RNA
Source: RNAcentral
GACGAACGCUGGCGGCGUGCUUAACACAUGCAAGUCGAACGGAAAGGCCCUGCUUUUGUGGGGUGCUCGAGUGGCGAACGGGUGAGUAACACGUGAGUAACCUGCCCUUGACUUUGGGAUAACUUCAGGAAACUGGGGCUAAUACCGGAUAGGAGCUCCUGCUGCAUGGUGGGGGUUGGAAAGUUUCGGCGGUUGGGGAUGGACUCGCGGCUUAUCAGCUGGUUGGUGGGGUAGUGGCUUACCAAGGCUUUGACGGGUAGCCGGCCUGAGAGGGUGACCGGCACAUUGGGACUGAGAUACGGACCAGACUCCUACGGGAGGCAGCAGUGGGGAAUAUUGCACAAUGGGCGGAAGCCUGAUGCAGCAACGCCGCGUGCGGGAUGACGGCCUUCGGGUUGUAAACCGCUUUCGCCUGUGACGAAGCGUGAGUGACGGUAAUGGGUAAAGAAGCACCGGCUAACUACGUG